Molecule: long non-coding RNA, 609 nt
Organism: Scylla paramamosain (green mud crab)
Lineage: Eukaryota; Metazoa; Arthropoda; Malacostraca; Decapoda; Portunidae
Exons: 2
Source: RefSeq, a predicted model, not a curated record
GUGAUUAGCCAGGAUCAAGGGUCAACUUCUUCACUGACCAUUUACUCUCAGGUGAUGUAUCUGUCCUCCAUGAGUCACCAGAGACACAUAAGGUGUUGUAAGUGAAAUUUCAUCUAUUAGAUUUAUUCAAAAUGUGAAUUAACACAGUUGUUUCCUGCAGGAUUUGAUAUCAAAGCUGGUGCAGGAAAAGGAAGCAGAUCAUGACCUUCAGCAGCUCGAGAAGAUAAGCAGCGUCCUUAAGAGUCCAGUUGCUAUCUUUAGCAGUGUUGGAACCAGUGAGUCUGAGACACCCACCAGCAGUGGAAAGCUGGCUGACGAGCGCCUCAAGCACUCUGAAAAGGUGGAGCAACAACAAGAAACAGAAAAUUGCAUCCAUCAUUCUUUGCCUGAGGAGGGAAUUGAUGCUCUGUUGACCCUUCACACUGAUGUCCCUCAUGAGGAGGCAGAAUAUGAAUCCUACAGAACUUGCCCAUAGAAAGACCAAAACUGUUACUGCUGCCACACUGCCACCACUUCCACUGACACCAAAAGCCCAACUGUGCAGAGAAUCCUGGACCUCCGCAAUGAAAUGGAGUCCACCAGUCACCUGGAGCACUUUAGCCUCCAAAA